UACGUAGGGUGCAAGCGUUAAUCGGAAUUACUGGGCGUAAAGCGUGCGCAGGCGGUGAUGUAAGACCGAUGUGAAAUCCCCGGGCUUAACCUGGGAACUGCAUUGGUGACUGCAUUGCUGGAGUAUGGCAGAGGGGGGUGGAAUUCCACGUGUAGCAGUGAAAUGCGUAGAGAUGUGGAGGAACACCGAUGGCGAAGGCAGCCCCCUGGGCCAAUACUGACGCCUCAUGCACGAAAGCGUGGGGAGCAAACAGG
RNAcentral lists this ribosomal RNA (254 nucleotides) under uncultured bacterium. RNAcentral's name for it is "partial 16S ribosomal RNA". It matches the Rfam family "Bacterial small subunit ribosomal RNA", at positions 524 to 776 of the family's 1533-position model. The record is from RNAcentral.